RNAcentral lists this ribosomal RNA (467 nucleotides) under uncultured bacterium. RNAcentral's name for it is "partial 16S ribosomal RNA". It matches the Rfam family "Bacterial small subunit ribosomal RNA", at positions 28 to 507 of the family's 1533-position model. The record is from RNAcentral.
GACGAACGCUGGCGGCGUGCUUAACACAUGCAAGUCGAACGGAAAGGCUCCAGCUUGCUGGAGUCCUCGAGUGGCGAACGGGUGAGUAACACGUGGGUAAUCUGCCCUGCACUCUGGGAUAAGCCUGGGAAACUGGGUCUAAUACUGGAUAUGACCUUUCUCCUUAUGGGGUUUGGUGGAAAGUUUUUGGGUGUAGGAUGAGCCCGCGGCCUAUCAGCUUGUUGGUGGGGUGAUGGCUUACCAAGGCGACGACGGGUAGCCGGCCUGAGAGGGUGAUCGGCCACAUUGGGACUGAGAUACGGCCCAGACUCCUACGGGAGGCAGCAGUGGGGAAUAUUGCACAAUGGGCGGAAGCCUGAUGCAGCGACGCCGCGUGAGGGAUGACGGCCUUCGGGUUGUAAACCUCUUUCAGCAGGGACGAAGCGUAAGUGACGGUACCUGCAGAAGAAGCACCGGCUAACUAUGUG